Molecule: ribosomal RNA, 253 nt
Filed under: uncultured bacterium
Lineage: Bacteria
Description: partial 16S ribosomal RNA
Rfam family: Bacterial small subunit ribosomal RNA
Source: RNAcentral
GACGGAGGGGACUAGCGUUGUUCGGAAUAACUGGGCGUAAAGGGUGCGUAGGCGGUUCUUUAAGUAAGGCGUGAAAGCCCUGGGCUCAACCCAGGAACUGCGCUUUAAACUAAAGGACUAGAGAAUGGAAGAGGAAAGCGGAAUUCCUAGUGUAGAGGUGGAAUUCGUAGAGAUUAGGAAGAACAUCAGAGGCGAAGGCGGCUUUCUGGUCCAUUCCUGACGCUGAGGCACGAUAGCGUGGGGAGCAAACAGG